CUGGUACAGGGUUGAGAGCAUCAGAGGUAUGUUAAGGCAUUAAGGCAUCACAACAACUACAGGCUUAGCCUGUGAGGGAGGACAAGCAAGAUCUGAAUUUACAGCCCCAGCAUACACCAAAAGUCAGGACUUUGCAACUCAGGCAGGUGAGACCUAGACUCAUAGCAUCACACUUGACGUGUGUAGCCAGCUGAAGAUGAGGUUGUGGCUUUAAAUCACCUCUGAAAGGAGGUAUAGCCACUGGUCAACAACACAGACUGCUACAAGCACACUUGAUCAUGCUGGGAGCUUUGCUGGUAUAGGCAGUUGGGAGCACUGCACUGCAUGGCCUGGGGCUUAGGGAGGAGUGAAGACAGAUUGCCCAAGUCCUUCAGUCUUCUCUUCUCCAAAAGGAAUGAUGCUUGGGAGGGAGAGGACAGAGAGACAUUUUCCAGCCAUGCAGGACAUCCUGAUCAUAUCUACCACUCUGUUCAAUUAAUCUUUCAUGCCCCAUUGGGCUAGCUGCAAGGAACCUGAAACUGCAGCAAC
This is a long non-coding RNA of Oxyura jamaicensis (ruddy duck), 528 nucleotides long. RefSeq lists it as uncharacterized. The record is from RefSeq and is a predicted model, not a curated record. NCBI's taxonomy places the organism in Eukaryota, Metazoa, Chordata, Aves, Anseriformes, Anatidae. The transcript is spliced from 3 exons.